This 253-nucleotide ribosomal RNA is filed under the name uncultured prokaryote. RNAcentral's name for it is "partial 16S ribosomal RNA". It matches the Rfam family "Bacterial small subunit ribosomal RNA", at positions 525 to 777 of the family's 1533-position model. The record is from RNAcentral.
ACAGAGGGGGCAAGCGUUGUUCGGAAUUACUGGGCGUAAAGGGCGCGUAGGCGGCCUGCUAAGUCGAACGUGAAAUCCCCGAGCUCAACUCGGGAACUGCGUCCGAUACUGGUUGGCUUGAAUCCGGGAGAGGGAUGCGGAAUUCCAGGUGUAGCGGUGAAAUGCGUAGAUAUCUGGAGGAACACUGGUGGCGAAGGCGGCGUUCUGGACUGCAACUGACACUGAGAAACGAAAGCCAGGGUAGCAAACGGGA